UUUUCAAGAGCACAAAACUGGCCACAGGAAAAGGAGGCAAUCAGCAAAGCCCCAUAGCACAACUACAGAAGAUUAUAAACCUGGGGGCCAGAGGGGAGAGUAGACAGGCAUUAUGACACAUAGUUGCAUCUGUAGAAUAACAGAGUGGGGAGGAGUGUGGUUAUGUCUCUUUAGCAUUAUGUAUGGUCAGAUUACAGGCUUAUAGCAUAACCAACUCUGUAACAGCACAUUAGGGUACAGGAUGUUACAAACGUGGCUAGGCAGAAUCUUGUAAUGUGCAUGUUACAGUUCAUAUUUACUAACAACACUCAAAAUUUACUGACAGUGCCACGAUGCAUAGGCCUUCUAACUGGUAUUAGAUUAUGCUAGGUCUCUUUUUGUUGAUGAAAUCGUAAAUAGACUUGCAUUGCUUAUUUAUUAUAAGUGACUUAAGCACUUGGAUUAAAGAGGAUAUGGAAAGAAAGGUUUAUAAAGUUUCAUGCCAUUCAAUUUCAAAUCUGUGCUGGAACACACAUUUCAGGGUCCUUCAGAAUCACCGUUUUAUUUUUUAAGCCACAUAUUAAACAGGGAUAUCCAGUUUAGGAAAUCUAUAUUGUAACAUAUUCACAGAACAUUAUAGAACCAAGGAUUACACUUCGCAAAGUUAAGAGGGGAAAAAGGAAAAUAGUAUUGAAAUAGAAAUCAUUCAAAUUUAAAUUUAGUUCACUUUUUAAAUGGAUUCUGGGACUUUAGGAACCUAAAUGCAAACUAAAUAUAGUAUGUGGCCACAACCCAGCUCAUUUUAAACACAAUGGUUUUUAGUGCGUGGGAAGGAUUAUUGCUGUGUACAUUUGCCUCAGGAAAACAAAAUGCAAGCCUCUUAGAGACCUUUAACCCUUCUAGGUCUUUUAGAAGACCCAAAUGCUCUGCAAAAAUGCCUGCAAAAGCCUCUGUGGCAUUAGUGGGGUUAAUGAUUAGGAUAUCCCCUGGUUAAACCAAAUAAAUGGGACAAAUGGUUCAAGGAUCCACCCCCGAAUUCUACAUUUUGCAUAUACAUCUACAUUACAAUGACAAAGGCUACUUAGAAAGUUCCUCAAGAGCUGAUUCAUUCAAGAGAUAAGGAAGAGUAUAAAAUUCAAGGCAGGGAAGCAGAAGGUGUGGGAAGAAAUCCAGCUCCAGAACAGAAACUCAGAUGAUAAGAUGAAGCAGAAACUUCAGUCAAAUAUCACCAAGGAUCUCCUUACACUUAAACAUUGAGGGACUUUUUCCCAUGUACUGCUGUAAGUGCUUCAAUGUUUUGGUGAAAGAAGUUCCAGCCACCAGAUACAGAAACUGCAAUUCUACUAUUGCCUAGGAACAUGAAAUUUCUUCAGCAUGGAAGUUUAUUCUUCAUGGAGUUUGUAGCAGCUGGUCACCACUACAGCCUGGGUUAGACCAAGUGCUGGUGAUCUUUUUCUGCGUUUUACAGAAUUUCUUCAAUAUGCAUUUAGAUUUGCCUCAUACCAUGCACCAAGAAGAAUCAUCAGAUCUAAAUUUCUGUCCAGGAAGGCCAACUGUGAUCCAAUAAGUUCCAAGGACUGUUUGCCCAAGCUGCACUCAAAUAGUUGAGCAAGAGGACAAAACUACUCAACCAAAUGCAAGCAUGCAAAAUAAUGAUAUAUGUUUUAUAUAUAAAAUGUAUGGUUUUAGUUACUUUAGCUAAACAAGGCAAAAAGGAGUGUGGGGGUAGUUUGUUUAUAUAGAGCUCAUUAUCUCUAGUUGAACUAGCUAGCUAAUUAUAGGGGAUUUAGUAAAAAAGAAAAAAUUACAAAGACUGUUUUGCAAAAAAAAAAAAAAAAAAGUAGGCAAAAGGGUAUAUACUGCCCCUUUAACUAGUGAAGUCUAGUAGGCCUAGAUAUUUUGUUUUUUUUAUUAAAAUGCUUAAUACAAAACUGCUUUUGCAAAUACCUCUCAUAACCAAACACAAACAUAUUUCCACAUCUGAAAACUGUGUUUAAAUGCACAGUGAAAGGACUUACUUUGAAAGUACUCUCAGAGGUAUAACCUCUUCUCCAACUCGGUGUCUCUCUUUAUGCUUCUUCUUCCGCUUCCUUUUUACUUUUGGCACUGAUAUUUCUUUCUUAUCCACUGCAUCCUUUUCUUCUUCUGUAGAGAGCUCUGUUUCAUGAACAAUAAGAUGCAGAAACCAUAACAUACCAUACUAUACUAUAAUUAUUAUAUAACACUUGAGAGCUUAUUAUCUUACAUAGAUGCUAAGUGCCAUGCAUCAAGUGUAUUUGCUGUUGCCUUAUAGCAGCCAACCAGUAUUUAGUUUUGAGUAGUAUUAUU
Xenopus tropicalis (tropical clawed frog) is the source of this 2307-nucleotide long non-coding RNA. RefSeq lists it as uncharacterized. Lineage: Eukaryota; Metazoa; Chordata; Amphibia; Anura; Pipidae. The transcript has 3 exons. The record is from RefSeq and is a predicted model, not a curated record.